RNAcentral lists this long non-coding RNA (275 nucleotides) under Rattus norvegicus (Norway rat). Its description in RNAcentral is "long non-coding RNA NONRATT029647". The record is from RNAcentral. Lineage: Eukaryota; Metazoa; Chordata; Mammalia; Rodentia; Muridae.
GUGAUGCUCAGUGAUGCUCAGUGAUGGUCAGGCUUAGAGAUAGGACCGAGUCUAGCUAGCAUCCUUGCCUUGGUGAUUGGGGUUUGUCCUAUGGGCAAGAAGAUAGGAAGGUUGAGAGGAGUGGGUGACCCUAUUCUGAAGGACAGUGGUUUGUGAAGGACUGGGGUUCUUAAACAUUUUGGCCUUGGGAUCCUUUGUUUUCAUUUAUAUGGCUAUACGUUCCCUCCUUGUCACGCGAAAAAGUAAAGCAAUGAAAAGCAUGUCUAUUAGCGGCA